UACGUAGGGUGCGAGCGUUGUCCGGAAUUAUUGGGCGUAAAGAGCUCGUAGGCGGCCUGUCACGUCGACUGUGAAAACCCAGGGCUCAACCCUGGGCCUGCAGUCGAUACGGGCAGGCUAGAGUAUGGUAGGGGAGACUGGAAUUCCUGGUGUAGCGGUGAAAUGCGCAGAUAUCAGGAGGAACACCGGUGGCGAAGGCGGGUCUCUGGGCCAUAACUGACGCUGAGGAGCGAAAGCGUGGGGAGCGAACAGG
RNAcentral lists this ribosomal RNA (253 nucleotides) under uncultured bacterium. RNAcentral describes it as "partial 16S ribosomal RNA". It matches the Rfam family "Bacterial small subunit ribosomal RNA", at positions 524 to 776 of the family's 1533-position model. The record is from RNAcentral.